GCGCUCUCCGUCCGCGGCGGCAGUGUAACAACUACUGCUGCGCCGCGGCCAGUUUGUGAUAGCAGCGCAGCGGAAGGCUUUCAUAGCCCUCCCUGCGCCGCAUACUCACUGGGACCCGGCGCCUUCUCCCCCACGUGUGAUGCCACCGCCACCGGCGCGCCCAGAUCCCUGGACUCCACAUCCCAGCACCUGACCAAAGUGAUGGAGAAGGAACGGGCAGAGCGGGUGCCGCUGCGGGGAGGUGAUGUUUGGACGCCGCACAGAUAUUACAGGUACCCCUAAUGGAUUCUACAUGGACAAGUGGACGUGAUCGGCGUGGGAUGUAGGGCAUUAAUGGUCCGCCGUGAAGUUGAGAGGGACCCAGCUGCUCAGCCAUAUGUCUAACAACCAAAUCUUCUUGCCAAAUUGGAGACUGUCGUAUCGGCCAGCUUCCAAGUUACACGGCAGGUCCGUGCAUCGCCAGCAUCAGCGAUUCCACUCUAUGACCUGUUCUGGAUCCGCAGUCUUUUGGAUGCUGAUUGUCGCGUAGGCUGUAGCUCACUAGACCCACAGGCGUUGCAUCUAUCACCCAGACUACUAAUUUAUCUGAAUAAUAACUUCCAUAAUUUGAUUGUCAUACAGUAAGUUCAUAGACCUACCUCUCCUAUAACGGUGCAACGUCUAGAUGAAACAGUGUCUAGGUGGGACCACCCAUAGUAAUCAAAUUGACAUUGUCUUUUAUGCCUUAAUAUGCCAUUCUCUGCAAUAAAGUCUGCUCUAUCUGUAGACCUCAUUACGUAAAUAAAUGUAUUUUAGAGAGA
Long non-coding RNA from Pseudophryne corroboree (corroboree frog), 800 nucleotides. RefSeq lists it as uncharacterized. The transcript has 3 exons. Lineage: Eukaryota; Metazoa; Chordata; Amphibia; Anura; Myobatrachidae. The record is from RefSeq and is a predicted model, not a curated record.